This 73-nucleotide transfer RNA is filed under the name Kali macrura. RNAcentral's name for it is "tRNA-Leu". Lineage: Eukaryota; Metazoa; Chordata; Actinopteri; Scombriformes; Chiasmodontidae. The record is from RNAcentral.
GCUUCUAAAGGAUAAUAGCUCAUCCACUGGCCUUAGGUCCCAGAGACUCUUGGUGCAAAUCCAAGUAGCAGCU